CUUCUCUUGAGAGCGGCGGACGGGUGAGUAAUGCCUAGGAAUCUGCCUGGUAGUGGGGGAUAACGUUCGGAAACGGACGCUAAUACCGCAUACGUCCUACGGGAGAAAGCAGGGGACCUUCGGGCCUUGCGCUAUCAGAUGAGCCUAGGUCGGAUUAGCUAGUUGGUGAGGUAAUGGCUCACCAAGGCGACGAUCCGUAACUGGUCUGAGAGGAUGAUCAGUCACACUGGAACUGAGACACGGUCCAGACUCCUACGGGAGGCAGCAGUGGGGAAUAUUGGACAAUGGGCGAAAGCCUGAUCCAGCCAUGCCGCGUGUGUGAAGAAGGUCUUCGGAUUGUAAAGCACUUUAAGUUGGGAGGAAGGGUUGUAGAUUAAUACUCUGCAAUUUUGACGUUACCGACAGAAUAAGCACCGGCUAACUCUGUGCCAGCAGCCGCGGUAAUACAGAGGGUGCAAGCGUUAAUCGGAAUUACUGGGCGUAAAGCGCGCGUAGGUGGUUUGUUAAGUUGGAUGUGAAAUCCCCGGGCUCAACCUGGGAACUGCAUUCAAAACUGACUGACUAGAGUAUGGUAGAGGGUGGUGGAAUUUCCUGUGUAGCGGUGAAAUGCGUAGAUAUAGGAAGGAACAAA
RNAcentral lists this ribosomal RNA (631 nucleotides) under Pseudomonas sp. Its description in RNAcentral is "bacterial SSU rRNA". It matches the Rfam family "Bacterial small subunit ribosomal RNA", at positions 83 to 710 of the family's 1533-position model. The record is from RNAcentral. Lineage: Bacteria; Pseudomonadati; Pseudomonadota; Gammaproteobacteria; Pseudomonadales; Pseudomonadaceae.